UACGGAAGGCAGCAGUGGGGAAUAUUGCACAAUGGGCGAAAGCCUGAUGCAGCUAUGCCGCGUGUAUGAAGAAGGCCUUAGGGUUGUAAAGUACUUUCAUCGGGGAGGAAAAAACAAAACUAAUAAUUUUAUUUCUUGACGUUACCCGAAAAAGAAGCACCGGCUAACUCCGUGCCAGCAGCCGCGGUAAUACGGAGGGUGCUAGCGUUAAUCAGAAUUACUGGGCGUAAAGAGCACGUAGGUGGUUUUUUUAAGUUAGAUGUGAAAUCCCUGGGCUUAACCUGGAACUGCAUUUUGAAACUGAAAUACUAGAGUAUCGUAGAGGGAGGUAGAAUUCUAGGUGUAGCGGUGAAAUGCGUAGAUAUCUGGAGGAAUACCUGUGGCGAAAGCGGCCUCCUAAACGAAUACUGACACUGAGGGUGCGAAAGCGUGGGGAGCAAACAGGGAUUAGAUACC
Molecule: ribosomal RNA, 456 nt
Filed under: uncultured bacterium
Lineage: Bacteria
Description: bacterial SSU rRNA
Rfam family: Bacterial small subunit ribosomal RNA
Source: RNAcentral